CUCGAGGGGUAUUGGUUUUCGGACCAAGAGACCGGCGCACGGGUGCGUAACGCGUAUGCAAUCUACCUUUCACAGAGGGAUAGCCCAGAGAAAUUUGGAUUAAUACCUCAUAGUAUUAUAGAAUGGCAUCAUUUUAUAAUUAAAGUCACAACGGUGAAAGAUGAGCAUGCGUCCCAUUAGCUUGUUGGUAAGGUAACGGCUUACCAAGGCAACGAUGGGUAGGGGUCCUGAGAGGGAGAUCCCCCACACUGGUACUGAGACACGGACCAGACUCCUACGGGAGGCAGCAGUGAGGAAUAUUGGACAAUGGGCGCAAGCCUGAUCCAGCCAUGCCGCGUGCAGGAUGACGGUCCUAUGGAUUGUAAACUGCUUUUGUACAGGAAGAAACAGUUCUACGUGUAGAACCUUGACGGUACUGUAAGAAUAAGGAUCGGCUAACUCCGUGCCAGCAGCCGCGGUAAUACGGAGGAUCCAAGCGUUAUCCGGAAUCAUUGGGUUUAAAGGGUCCGUAGGCGGUUUAGUAAGUCAGUGGUGAAAGCCCAUCGCUCACGGUGGAACGGCCAUUGAUACUGCUAGACUUGAAUUAUUAGAAGUAACUAGAAUAUGUAGUGUAGCGGUGA
Molecule: ribosomal RNA, 620 nt
Filed under: Flavobacterium sp. Man07
Lineage: Bacteria; Pseudomonadati; Bacteroidota; Flavobacteriia; Flavobacteriales; Flavobacteriaceae
Description: bacterial SSU rRNA
Rfam family: Bacterial small subunit ribosomal RNA
Source: RNAcentral